RNAcentral lists this ribosomal RNA (508 nucleotides) under uncultured bacterium. RNAcentral describes it as "partial 16S ribosomal RNA". It matches the Rfam family "Bacterial small subunit ribosomal RNA", at positions 28 to 523 of the family's 1533-position model. The record is from RNAcentral.
GAUGAACGCUGGCGGCGUGCCUAACACAUGCAAGUCGAACGGCAGCGGGGGAGAAGCUUGCUUUUCCUGCCGGCGAGUGGCGAACGGGUGAGUAAUACAUCGGAACGUGCCCUGUAGUGGGGGAUAACUAGUCGAAAGAUUAGCUAAUACCGCAUACGACCUGAGGGUGAAAGUGGGGGACCGCAAGGCCUCAUGCUAUAGGAGCGGCCGAUGUCUGAUUAGCUAGUGGGUGGGGUAAAGGCCUACCAAGGCGACGAUCAGUAGCUGGUCUGAGAGGACGAUCAGCCGCACUGGGACUGAGACACGGCCCAGACUCCUACGGGAGGCAGCAGUGGGGAAUUUUGGACAAUGGGCGAAAGCCUGAUCCAGCAAUGCCGCGUGUGUGAAGAAGGCCUUCGGGUUGUAAAGCACUUUUGUCCGGAAAGAAAUGGCUCUGGUUAAUACCUGGGGUCGAUGACGGUACCGGAAGAAUAAGGACCGGCUAACUACGUGCCAGCAGCCGCGGUAA